Molecule: ribosomal RNA, 446 nt
Filed under: uncultured bacterium
Lineage: Bacteria
Description: partial 16S ribosomal RNA
Rfam family: Bacterial small subunit ribosomal RNA
Source: RNAcentral
CCUACGGGAGGCUGCAGUUUCGAAUCAUUCACAAUGGGCGAAAGCCUGAUGGUGCGACGCCGCGUGAGGGAUGAAGGUCUUCGGAUUGUAAACCUCUGUCACCGGGGAAGAAACGCUUCAAGUUAAUAGUUUGAAGCCUGACUUCACCCGGAGAGGAAGCAGUGGCUAACUCUGUGCCAGCAGCCGCGGUAAUACAGAGACUGCAAGCGUUAUUCGGGUUCGCAGGGGGCAAAGGGUGCGCAGUGUGCCAGCCCGGAUCUUAACUCCGGAAUUGCUCCUCAAACUACAUGGCUAGAGCAUUGGAGAGGGUAGCAGAAUUCACGGUGUAGCAGUGAAAUGCGUAGAUAUCGUGAGGAAUACCAGAGGCGAAGGCGGCUACCUGGACAAUUGCUGACGCUCAGGCACGAAAGCGUGGGGAGCAAAAGGGAUUAGAUACCCGAGUAGUC